AACGAACGCUGGCGGCGUGCCUAACACAUGCAAGUCGUGCGAGAAAGUUCCUUCGGGAGCGAGUAAAGCGGCGCACGGGUGAGUAACACGUAGGUAACCUGCCCCCCAGUCUGGAACAACUAGAGGAAACUCUAGCUAAUGCCGGAUGAGACCACGAUCCCUUCGGGGGUUGCGGCCAAAGAUGGCCUCUACUUGUAAGCUAUCGCUGAGGGAUGGGCCUGCGGCCAUUAGCUUGUUGGUGAGGUAACGGCUCACCAAGGCUGUGAUGGCUAGCUGUCUGAGAGGAUGACCAGCCACACUGGGACUGAGACACGGCCCAGACUCCUACGGGAGGCAGCAGUGGGGAAUAUUGCGCAAUGGGC
This 362-nucleotide ribosomal RNA is filed under the name uncultured bacterium. Its description in RNAcentral is "bacterial SSU rRNA". It matches the Rfam family "Bacterial small subunit ribosomal RNA", at positions 29 to 376 of the family's 1533-position model. The record is from RNAcentral.